Molecule: long non-coding RNA, 1372 nt
Filed under: Olea europaea subsp. europaea
Lineage: Eukaryota; Viridiplantae; Streptophyta; Magnoliopsida; Lamiales; Oleaceae
Source: RNAcentral
AAGAAAUCAAACACAAUCAAUUGACGCAUUCAAUCGAAUACGAUAAUAUGUUUGAGUUUGAUGCGAUUGCUUAAUAAGACACGAUCAAAUAUUUUGUUCUUGAUUCUUAAACAAUUCAUAUUUGAUUUAAACUUGAUUGUGAGCACUACUUGAAGACCCAGCGUGUUUUCUAAUAUAUUAUUUUUUUCUUCCAAUUUAAGAAUUUGUCAUCAACAAAUGAACAAUCACUCUAACUAAAGACAUAGCAGUAAAAGCAAAAAAUUGUAUCUUUUGUUAUACUAUAUUCCAACCAAGUAGGAUGCUCAUUAUACUACAAAACACAAUAUUGUCCAUCUUUGUUACCCAUUCUUGUGGGUGGAAGAAACUCAUGAUUGCGAGGCUAACAAGGACUCCUUUGCACAUAUACUCUUCAAUUCACGUCUCGAACAUUAACAUUAUAAUUUUGUAUUGGAACUCUCAAUUUAGGAUUUGAGGGUUGCUGUGCAACAUCAACAUCCCCAACUCUCCAACAUCAACAUUAAUAUUAACAUCGUUUUCAUUCAUUUUCUCUCGAAUAUUUGCUUAUAUUUUUGCUCAUCACAAGAAAGCGUAGAUUUACAUGAGAAGAAUUUGUCCAUAACUGAUACAAAUAAGAAAAAUCAAAGACAUUAGAAUCCCUAGAUCAAUUUUUUCCCCUAACUUAUACUUAUACAAAAUUUCAAACAUAUUAAUAAAAAAGUUUCAAUCUUCCUAAAUCAAUUUACACAUAAACAAGAAAGCCCUAACUUAGAAAUUCCUAAAUUAAAAAUCCUUAAAUCCCUAAAUCGGAAAACACAAUUGAUGACAACAUUGACAUUUGGCAGAAAUAUAAAUAAGAAAUUGACAUUAGCUAAAUUGCAGACACUAAAACUGGGAGAAAAUAACUAAAUUAAAUGGUAAUGUGACAUACCUUCAAGAAGAUGGCAGUGGAUGGAGUCAGAAGUUAGAAAAUUAGAAAUAUGCUGAUCACAGAAUGAUAGAAAUAUGCAGACCACAAACGACAUAGAAGAAGAUCUAAAGAUGCACAGCGUGACGACGAAAACAAUGGAAGAUUGUGGCGGGGGCUUAUUUUAAUGGGACAUAUUCAAUUUGGCAGUAUCUAAUGGCUUGUUCAAACGGUGAAGACGUGAAGCGAUGGCCGGUGGGUUUAUGGUAAUAAGGGUAGGGGCUUAUUCAAAUGGUGGGAGAGAAAGAGACAAAGCUGCAAUGUUGGUUGCAUUAUAAAUGUAGCGUUUAGAUUUUGACUUUUUAAAUUUUUAGAAAAACCAAAAUAAAACAAAAUUUCUUUUUCAAAAUCUAGGGGCUCAUGUGACACCCUAGGCCCACCCUGGUCUGCCCAUGUUGGUGGUGGUUG